GACGAACGCUGGCGGCGUGCUUAACACAUGCAAGUCGAACGGAAAGGCCCUGCUUGCCGGGUGCUCGAGUGGCGAACGGGUGAGUAACACGUGGGUGAUCUGCCCCUUACUUUGGGAUAAGCCUGGGAAACUGGGUCUAAUACUGGAUAGGACCAUGCUGUAGGUGGUGUGGUGGAAAGAUUUUUUCGGUAAGGGAUGAGCUCGCGGCCUAUCAGCUUGUUGGUGGGGUAAUGGCCUACCAAGGCGUCGACGGGUAGCCGGCCUGAGAGGGUGGACGGCCACAUUGGGACUGAGAUACGGCCCAGACUCCUACGGGAGGCAGCAGUGGGGAAUAUUGCACAAUGGGCGCAAGCCUGAUGCAGCGACGCCGCGUGGGGGAUGACGGCCUUCGGGUUGUAAACUCCUUUCAGCCAUGACGAAGCCUCUUUUGGGGUGACGGUAGUGGUAGAAGAAGCACCGGCUAACUACGUG
This 471-nucleotide ribosomal RNA is filed under the name uncultured bacterium. RNAcentral's name for it is "partial 16S ribosomal RNA". It matches the Rfam family "Bacterial small subunit ribosomal RNA", at positions 28 to 507 of the family's 1533-position model. The record is from RNAcentral.